Molecule: ribosomal RNA, 465 nt
Filed under: Vreelandella stevensii
Lineage: Bacteria; Pseudomonadati; Pseudomonadota; Gammaproteobacteria; Oceanospirillales; Halomonadaceae
Description: partial 16S ribosomal RNA
Rfam family: Bacterial small subunit ribosomal RNA
Source: RNAcentral
CCUACGGGUGGCUGCAGUGGGGAAUAUUGUACAAUGGGGGCAACCCUGAUCCAGCCAUGCCGCGUGUGUGAAAAAGGCCCUCGGGUUGUAAAGCACUUUCAGUGAGGAAGAACGCCUGGUGGUUAAUACCCAUCAGGAAAGACAUCACUCACAGAAGAAGCACCGGCUAACUCCGUGCCAGCAGCCGCGGUAAUACGGAGGGUGCGAGCGUUAAUCGGAAUUACUGGGCGUAAAGCGCGCGUAGGUGGCUUGAUAAGCCGGUUGUGAAAGCCCCGGGCUCAACCUGGGAACGGCAUCCGGAACUGUCAAGCUAGAGUGCAGGAGAGGAAGGUAGAAUUCCCGGUGUAGCGGUGAAAUGCGUAGAGAUCGGGAGGAAUACCAGUGGCGAAGGCGGCCUUCUGGACUGACACUGACACUGAGGUGCGAAAGCGUGGGUAGCAAACAGGAUUAGAUACCCGGGUAGUC